This 352-nucleotide RNase P RNA is filed under the name Bacillota bacterium. RNAcentral describes it as "Firmicutes bacterium (anaerobic digester metagenome) RNase P RNA component class A". It matches the Rfam family "Bacterial RNase P class A". From Rfam's summary of the family: Ribonuclease P (RNase P) is a ubiquitous endoribonuclease, found in archaea, bacteria and eukarya as well as chloroplasts and mitochondria. Lineage: Bacteria; Bacillati; Bacillota. The record is from RNAcentral.
UGAGUGGACUAGGUGAUCGCGAAGGUAUACCUUUGAGGAAAGUCCGAGCUCCGUAGAGCAGAAUGCUGGGUAACGCCCAGUGAAGGUGACUUCAAGGCUAGUGCCACAGAGACAAACCGCCUCAAGAAGAAGAUCUCGUUUUGAGGUAAGGGUGAAAAGGUGAGGUAAGAGCUCACCAGCGAUUAGGCGACUAAUCGGCUAGGUAAACCCCAUUUGGAGCAAGGUCAAAUAGGGAAGGAGAGGCUGCUCGUCUCGCUAAACUUCCGGGUUGACCGCAUGAGAUCUUAGGCAACUAAGGUCCUAGAUAGAUGAUCAUCCACGACAGAACUCGGCUUAUCGGUCCACUCAGAAC